GCGAGUGGCGAACGGGUGAGUAAUAUAUCGGAACGUACCCUGGAGUGGGGGAUAACGUAGCGAAAGUUACGCUAAUACCGCAUACGAUCUAAGGAUGAAAGUGGGGGAUCGCAAGACCUCAUGCUCCUGGAGCGGCCGAUAUCUGAUUAGCUAGUUGGUAGGGUAAAAGCCUACCAAGGCAUCGAUCAGUAGCUGGUCUGAGAGGACGACCAGCCACACUGGAACUGAGACACGGUCCAGACUCCUACGGGAGGCAGCAGUGGGGAAUUUUGGACAAUGGGCGCAAGCCUGAUCCAGCAAUGCCGCGUGAGUGAAGAAGGCCUUCGGGUUGUAAAGCUCUUUUGUCAGGGAAGAAAAGGCUAUGGAUAAUACCUGUGGCUCAUGACGGUACCUGAAGAAUAAGCACCGGCUAACUACGUGCCAGCAGCCGCGGUAAUACGUAGGGUGCAAGCGUUAAUCGGAAUUACUGGGCGUAAAGCGUGCGCAGGCGGUUUUGUAAGACUGUCGUGAAAUCCCCGGGCUCAACCUGGGAAUGGCGAUGGUGACUGCAAGGCUAGAGUUUGGCAGAGGGGGGUAGAAUUCCACGUGUAGCAGUGAAAUGCGUAGAUAUGUGGAGGAACACCGAUGGCGAAGGCAGCCCCCUGGGUCAAAACUGACGCUCAUGCACGAAAGCGUGGGGAGCAAACAGGAUUAGAUACCCUGGUAGUCCACGCCCUAAACGAUGUCUACUAGUUGUCGGGUCUUAAUUGACUUGGUAACGCAGCUAACGCGUGAAGUAGACCGCCUGGGGAGUACGGUCGCAAGAUU
This 807-nucleotide ribosomal RNA is filed under the name Duganella sp. AKB-2008-JO22. RNAcentral's name for it is "bacterial SSU rRNA". It matches the Rfam family "Bacterial small subunit ribosomal RNA", at positions 91 to 895 of the family's 1533-position model. The record is from RNAcentral. Lineage: Bacteria; Pseudomonadati; Pseudomonadota; Betaproteobacteria; Burkholderiales; Oxalobacteraceae.